This 510-nucleotide ribosomal RNA is filed under the name uncultured bacterium. Its description in RNAcentral is "bacterial SSU rRNA". It matches the Rfam family "Bacterial small subunit ribosomal RNA", at positions 791 to 1293 of the family's 1533-position model. The record is from RNAcentral.
UAGUCCACGCCGUAAACUAUGUCAACUAGCCGUCGGGUCCAUUUAAGGAUUUGGUGGCGCAGCUAACGCGAUAAGUUGACCGCCUGGGGAGUACGGCCGCAAGGUUAAAACUCAAAGGAAUUGACGGGGGCCCGCACAAGCGGUGGAGCAUGUGGUUUAAUUCGAUGCAACGCGAAGAACCUUACCAGCCCUUGACAUCCUCGGAACUUUCUAGAAAUAGAUUGGUGCCUUCGGGAACCGAGUGACAGGUGCUGCAUGGUUGUCGUCAGCUCGUGUCGUGAGAUGUUGGGUUAAGUCCCGUAACGAGCGCAACCCUUGUCCUUAGUUGCCAGCAUUUCGGAUGGGAACUCUAAGGAGACUGCCGGUGACAAACCGGAGGAAGGUGGGGAUGGACGUCAAGUCAUCAUGCUCCUUAUGUCCUGGGGCUACAAACGUGCUACAAUGGGGCGCUACAAAGGGGCAGCUAUACCGCAAGGGUAAUGACGAAACCGAAAAAAGCGUUACUCAGUU